RNAcentral lists this ribosomal RNA (376 nucleotides) under uncultured bacterium. Its description in RNAcentral is "bacterial SSU rRNA". It matches the Rfam family "Bacterial small subunit ribosomal RNA", at positions 523 to 898 of the family's 1533-position model. The record is from RNAcentral.
AUACGUAGGGAGCGAGCGUUGUCCGGAUUUACUGGGUGUAAAGGGUGCGUAGGCGGCUCUGCAAGUCAGGUGUGAAAACCAUCGGCUUAACUGAUGGACUGCAUUUGAAACUGUGGGGCUUGAGUGGAGUAGAGGCAGACGGAAUUCCCGGUGUAGCGGUGAAAUGCGUAGAGAUCGGGAAGAACACCAGUGGCGAAGGCGGUUUGCUGGGCUCUAACUGACGCUGAGGCACGAAAGCAUGGGUAGCAAACAGGAUUAGAUACCCUGGUAGUCCAUGCCAUAAACGAUGAUUACUAGGUGUGGGGAGUCUGACCCUCUCCGUGCCGGAGUUAACACAAUAAGUGACCCACCUGGGGACUACGGCCGCAAGGCUGAA